RNAcentral lists this ribosomal RNA (742 nucleotides) under uncultured Planctomycetota bacterium. RNAcentral's name for it is "bacterial SSU rRNA". It matches the Rfam family "Bacterial small subunit ribosomal RNA", at positions 552 to 1288 of the family's 1533-position model. The record is from RNAcentral. Lineage: Bacteria; Pseudomonadati; Planctomycetota.
AAUUCGCCCUUGAGCACGUAGGUGGGUUUGUAAGUCAGAUGUGAAAGCCUUCUGUUCAACGGAAGAAUUGCAUCUGAAACUACAAGUCUUGAGUGUAGGAGGGGAGAAUGGAACUUCUGGUGGAGCGGUGAAAUCCGUAGAUAUCAGAAGGAACGCCGGCGGCGAAAGCGAUUCUCUGGCCUAUUACUGACACUCAGUGUGCGAAAGCUAGGGGAGCAAACGGGAUUAGAUACCCCGGUAGUCCUAGCCGUAAACGAUGGGCACUAAGUAGAGGGGAUUACCGACGUUCUCUCUGCCGUAGCUAACGCAUUAAGUGCCCCGCCUGGGGAGUACGGCCGCAAGGCUAAAACUCAAAAGAAUUGACGGGGGCUCGCACAAGCGGUGGAGCAUGUGGCUUAAUUCGAUGCAACGCGAAGAACCUUACCGGGGCUUGACAUGGUAGAAGUAGGAACCCGAAAGGGUAACGAGCGGUAUCCAGUCCGUGACUAUCACAGGUGUUGCAUGGCUGUCGUCAGCUCGUGUCGUGAGACGUUGGGUUAAGUCCCCUAACGAGCGAAACCCUUGUUUUUAGUUACCAGCGGGUUAUGCCGGGUACUCUAGAAAGACUGCCGUCGUCAAGACGGAGGAAGGUGGGGAUGACGUCAAGUCAUCAUGGCCCUUAUGCCCCGGGCUGCACACGUGCUACAAUGGUCGGUACAAACGGAAGCGAAGCCGAGAGGUGAAGCGAAUCCAAGGGCGAAUU